CGAUGAGUUAAAAGAAAAAAUGGUUCACGAUGCAGAUCGAGCGGCGGCACUCCUAUCGGACCGGGAGCAGGAAGACGGCGGCGAGCACAUAAAGGGCGCGGGCGGCACACUGCCCGGCCGAGAGGAGGAGCAGGAGGGGAGGCGCUGAGGCGGGGCCAUAAGCGUCGGACGCGCUCGCUCGCCCGCAAUCAACACGGAAGCAGUGGCCGUCCAUGGCGGCUCGGGUCGAUGCAGGAGGACGAGGGGAGGAGCUCGCGAGGGCCGGCACCGGGAAUGGAGCGGAGGCGGGUGCAUCUGGCGAUUCCGCAGGGGCUGCGGCGACGAGAGGCUCCAUGGGCGGUGACCUGCGGGGUUCAAGCGACGGCUGCCUUAAAGGUUGGGCGGCGACUCUCUGUAGAGAAGGAAUAGGAGGAGAGGAAGAAGGAAUAGAAGGAGAGGAAGAGGAAGAAGGCAGGUCACUCAAAGAGCAUUCAUCUCUUGCCCCCUCUCUCCUCUGGCCUGGCAUGAUGUGCGCGGCUGGAUGUGUGAUGUGCGUCCAUGUUCAUGUGAUCUUCAAGACAGCAAGGACCAAUUGCACCCUUGGUUUUGUUUCUGUCCUGUGAACCAAUCUAAGAUGGCCUCUAAGAAGCACUUGGCUGGUACAGAGAAAUUUUCUGUAGUCUUAAAAUAAACCAUCCUAAUCUUCUAUGAUGUGCUUUUUCGAGCAGGAAGGGGAGGUGAUGUGCGCCAGGUACGUGGUCGAGGAAGUGAACACCAGUUUUAGCUAUGUAGUGUUCUGUGGUGAAUGAGAAUGUUUCAUAGUUUAUUAUUAAUCUAAAUUUUGGUUUUAAGCUUUUGCUUCACAGAUAUUGUUGAGUAACUUUUUUCCAAACUAUGUACUAUACAUGUGGAUUUUUUUGCGGGGAUACUGUAUGUACACUUCUGAGUACAAAUUCUAAAUUCGUAUAUGAAACCUUAAUUCAACUCCUACCAUACAAAACUAAUUUUGUGGUUCAGUUGUUUAAGAGCUCAAAUAGGAUGUGUACUGGAACCUCAAGGAAAACAAAAAGAAGAGCUGGGGAAGGAGCUAGAGAUGCAGCCGCCACAAGGUCGAAACGGCCACAUAGAUCCUUUUAUUCUGCAACUAUGACAACUGCGACAAGACCUUUGUUGAUGUGGCUGCCUUGAGGAAGCAUGCUCAUGUACAUGGCGAGAGGGGAUGUAUGCUUUUGAGUAGCCCGGCUAUUGGAAGGUACCUCUAGCUAAUAUGAAUGAAUGCUUGCAUUACCAAUGCAUACACCAACGUUGUUGAACUUUCAUGUUUACUAGCAUUGACAGACUUUUUCAGUAAUUUCGGGCUUUUUAUAAAGGACAUUUCUCUAUUUGGCAUAGAUUAAUGAUUUUGGUAAUCCAUCCAUCCAAUCCAGAUGCCGCUGAUGAACAAAUAGUGAUCCAGUUUGGUCGGAUUAGAUAUAAGUUUGGUCUCCGCUCGAGCUCCUGCUGUUGCUUGGAUUUUGCUUUUCCCCUCUCAUCCAACCGCAGGGGCCUGUUAUUUUUUUUCAUCUUGACGUUGUUGUGGUCGCCCAGCCGAUCAAAUCCUUGCGCACACACAACAACUCAACUCCACAGUCUGCACGCAGCAGCUCAACACCACGGUCUGUAUGCCACCGCCGUCUCUUGAGCAGCUCGAUGGGCGAUUUAUGUUAUGUAUCUCUAUAUGAUAAUCCCUCCAUAGCCAUGUAGAAAAAGGCUUCAAUUUGAUUUUGGUUCAGUUUAAUUCAGCGUGGUGAUGCUCACCCUAAUAAGUUGGUGUGUUGUUAUACUGUAUUGAAUAAAUGAUGGGCACUGAAUUUUCCAUGGAUUGAGCAGAGGAGUAGAAUCUCACCUACUUGCUAGCUUCCUACUUGAGAUAGUGAAGACACUCAUUUUCA
Molecule: long non-coding RNA, 1910 nt
Organism: Triticum urartu
Lineage: Eukaryota; Viridiplantae; Streptophyta; Magnoliopsida; Poales; Poaceae
Source: RefSeq, a predicted model, not a curated record